AUGGCGUUGUGCGAGCGUGCUCGGCGAUCGAUAGCCAUGGGGUUGUGUCUCCCCCGGUCCAUGGAGACUAGCUGGAGAAGCAGGCCUGGACGCCUCCUAUCUCCUACCGUGGAGGCGUUGACCCGGAUACUCUGUUUCCCGGGCAGAAAUUCUUUGGUUCAUAUUCCGUUUCAUUUUCUUUGGUUCAUAUUCCGUUUUCCCGGGCUAAAAAAUUGUCAAUUUCUUUGGUUCAUAUUCCAUUGCUCCCGGGCAGAAUUUAUCGGUCGGCUUACCUCCUUGUCAAAGAUCGGGACGGUUGAUGACUGGUUCGAAAUGUUUUUUCAGAGGUUCCCGUCAGAUGAUGGCACUGAUAGCUAG
Molecule: ribosomal RNA, 357 nt
Filed under: Triticum aestivum (bread wheat)
Lineage: Eukaryota; Viridiplantae; Streptophyta; Magnoliopsida; Poales; Poaceae
Description: partial small subunit ribosomal RNA
Source: RNAcentral